AUGCUUAACACAUGCAAGUCGAACGGUAACAGAUAAGAUGAUCUCUUCGGAGUGAAUCUUUGCUGACGAGUGGCGGACGGGUGAGUAAUGCUUGGGAAUCUGCCCAAUAGUGGGGGAAAACUCGGGGAAACCCGGGCUAAUACCGCAUAAUCUCUACGGAGGAAAGAGGGCCUCUACAUGUAAGCUCUCGCUAAUGGAUGAGCCCAAGUCAGAUUAGCUAGUUGGUAAGGUAAUGGCUUACCAAGGCUACGAUCUGUAGCUGGUCUGAGAGGAUGAUCAGCCACACUGGGACUGAGACACGGCCCAGACUCCUACGGGAGGCAGCAGUGGGGAAUAUUGCACAAUGGGCGCAAGCCUGAUGCAGCAAUGCCGCGUGUGUGAAGAAGGCUCCAGGGUUGUAAAGCACUUUCAAUAGAGAAGAAAAGCUUGAAAUUAAUACUUUCAAGCCUUGACGUAAUCUAUACAAGAAGCACCGGCUAAUUCCGUGCCAGCAGCCGCGGUAAUACGGGAGGUGCGAGCGUUAAUCGGAAUUACUGGGCGUAAAGCGAGCGUAGGCUGUUAAUUAAGUCGAAUGUGAAAUCCCCGGGCUCAACCUGGGAACUGCAUUCGAAACUAUUUAACUAGAGUAUGGGAGAGGAAAGUAGAAUUUCCGGUGUAGCGGUGAAAUGCGUAGAUAUCGGAAGGAACACCAGUGG
Molecule: ribosomal RNA, 695 nt
Filed under: uncultured bacterium
Lineage: Bacteria
Description: bacterial SSU rRNA
Rfam family: Bacterial small subunit ribosomal RNA
Source: RNAcentral